RNAcentral lists this ribosomal RNA (732 nucleotides) under uncultured marine bacterium. RNAcentral's name for it is "bacterial SSU rRNA". It matches the Rfam family "Bacterial small subunit ribosomal RNA", at positions 14 to 794 of the family's 1533-position model. The record is from RNAcentral.
UGAUCCUGGCUCAGAACGAACGCUGGCGGCAGGCCUAACACAUGCAAGUCGAGCGCGCCUUCGGGUGAGCGGCGGACGGGUGAGUAACGCGUGGGAACGUGCCCUUCUCUACGGAAUAGCCUCUGGAAACGGAGAGUAAUACCGUAUACGCCCUUUGGGGGAAAGAUUUAUCGGAGAAGGAUCGGCCCGCGUUAGAUUAGGUAGUUGGUGGGGUAAUGGCCUACCAAGCCUACGAUCUAUAGCUGGUUUUAGAGGAUGAUCAGCAACACUGGGACUGAGACACGGCCCAGACUCCUACGGGAGGCAGCAGUGGGGAAUCUCAGACAAUGGGGGCAACCCUGAUCUAGCCAUGCCGCGUGAGUGAUGAAGGCCUUAGGGUCGUAAAGCUCUUUCGCCUGUGAUGAUAAUGACAGUAGCAGGUAAAGAAACCCCGGCUAACUCCGUGCCAGCAGCCGCGGUAAUACGGAGGGGGUUAGCGUUGUUCGGAAUUACUGGGCGUAAAGCGCGCGUAGGCGGAUUAGAAAGUUGGGGGUGAAAUCCCGGGGCUCAACCUCGGAACUGCCUCCAAAACUGCUAGUCUAGAGUUCGAGAGAGGUGAGUGGAAUUCCGAGUGUAGAGGUGAAAUUCGUAGAUAUUCGGAGGAACACCAGUGGCGAAGGCGGCUCACUGGCUCGAUACUGACGCUGAGGUGCGAAAGUGUGGGGAGCAAACAGGAUUAGAUACCCUGGUAGU